This 689-nucleotide small RNA is filed under the name Pan troglodytes (chimpanzee). Its description in RNAcentral is "processed transcript". Lineage: Eukaryota; Metazoa; Chordata; Mammalia; Primates; Hominidae. The record is from RNAcentral.
GCCGGGGGAUGUUUCAUUCAUUCGGCCGAGGCCAUCGAGCUACAGCUAUGGGCCAGGCUCGGGGCUGCAGGUGUUCGUCCUCGUGGCCCUUCCUGGCUGGCGAGGAGAAGAGCUGCCUAUGGGACAGAGCUGCGGUCCUGAGCUGCAGUAGCGCCUGGGAGGCACUACAGGGCAGCUGACACCCUAGCUGUACGCCAGAAGCGGCGGAUUUACGACAUUACCAAUGUUUUGGAAGGUAUCGGGCUAAUCGAGAAAAAGUCCAAGAACAGCAUCCAGUGGAAGGGUGUGGGGCCUGGCUGCAAUACCCGGGAGAUUGCUGACAAACUGAUUGAGCUCAAGGCAGAGAUCGAGGAGCUGCAGCAGCGGGAGCAAGAACUAGACCAGCACAAGGUGUGGGUGCAGCAGAGCAUCCGGAACGUCACAGAGGACGUGCAGAACAGCUGUUUGGCCUACGUCACUCAUGAGGACAUCUGCAGAUGCUUUGCUGGAGAUACCCUCUUGGCCAUCCGGGCCCCAUCAGGCACCAGCCUGGAGGUGCCCAUCCCAGAGGGUCUCAAUGGGCAGAAGAAGUACCAGAUUCACCUGAAGAGUGUGAGUGGUCCCAUUGAGGUUCUGCUGGUGAACAAGGAGGCAUGGAGCUCACCCCCUGUGGCUGUGCCUGUGCCACCACCUGAAGAUUUGCUCCAGAG